GAUGAAGAACGUAGCGAAAUGCGAUAAGUAAUGUGAAUUGCAGAAUUCAGUGAGUCAUCGAAUCUUUGAACGCACAUUGCGCCCUGUGGUAUUCCGCAGGGCAUGCCUGUUCGAGCGUCAUUUCAACCCUCAAGCUCUGCUUGGUGUUGGGCCCUGCCCGCUGCGGCCGGCCCUAAAGACAGUGGCGGUGCCGCCUGGCCCUGAGCGUAGUACAUCUCUCGCCCCAGUGCCCGGUGGUAGCCUGCCAGAACCCCAACUCUCGUGGUUGACCUCGGAUCAGGUAGGGAUACCCGCUGAACUUAAGCAUAUCAAUAAGCGGAGGA
Molecule: unclassified non-coding RNA, 323 nt
Filed under: soil metagenome
Description: partial contains 5.8S ribosomal RNA, internal transcribed spacer 2, and large subunit ribosomal RNA
Rfam family: 5.8S ribosomal RNA (bases 1-120)
Source: RNAcentral